GCUUAGCCUUAAACCUCAGUAGUUAAACAACAAAACUACUCGCCAGAAUACUACAAGCAACAGCUUGAAACUCAAAGGACUUGGCGGUGCUUUAGACCCCUCUAGAGGAGCCUGUUCUAUAAUCGAUAAACCCCGAUCCACCCCACCCUCUCUUGCUCAGCCUAUAUACCGCCAUCUUCAGCAAACCCUGAUAAAGGUUAUAAAGUGUGCGAAAACGCCUUCCCCGCAAAAACGUUAGGUCAAGGUGUAGCCUAUGGGACGGUAAAAAAUGGGCUACAUUUUCUACCCCAGAAAACCCCACGAUAACUCUUAUGAAACCUAAGAGUCCAAGGAGGAUUUAGCAGUAAAUUAAGAAUAGAGUGCUUAAUUGAACCAGGCCAUGAAGCACGC
Molecule: ribosomal RNA, 390 nt
Filed under: Miopithecus talapoin (talapoin)
Lineage: Eukaryota; Metazoa; Chordata; Mammalia; Primates; Cercopithecidae
Description: 12S ribosomal RNA
Rfam family: Bacterial small subunit ribosomal RNA
Source: RNAcentral